This 963-nucleotide unclassified non-coding RNA is filed under the name Hevea brasiliensis (rubber tree). Lineage: Eukaryota; Viridiplantae; Streptophyta; Magnoliopsida; Malpighiales; Euphorbiaceae. The record is from RNAcentral.
UGGAAUAUUUGAAUAUGCACUUUCUGAAUUUAUAAGGGGAAAGAGGGGGAGAGAGAGCAAGGUUAGCAUGGUCGAAGUUUCGAUACGUUGAAUGCAAUUUAAGUUUCAAUGAAAAAUGAAAAUUUUAUAAAGCUUUACAUGUACAACUACAAUGUUGCAAUGCAACCAACAUAACCACAAAACAGAAUUUUUCAUCACAGCAGAAGAGGUCAUGAAUGUGAAGAUCAUGAACUCCCUGGCUUCUUAAUUUUGCGCAUUUUCUGGGAUUCUCAUUGACCAAUUUCGAAACAAGAAGCCAUCUCAUCCACUCUGGACUUUUUGAAAAGCAAAGACACUUUGUAAAUUUUGGCAUACAUUGACAAGUCAAAGAAUAUUUUCAGCAGAAAUUCAAAAAAAGUUUUUAGCAAAAUGUUUGCACACAAUAACACAAAUCUCCACACAUCCCAUCCAGACGAUGCAAGCAGAAGCCGUCAUAGGAGAUUUGGUGCAGGUCUCAAUGACCAAAUUUCCAUCAGCUUUGCUUGAUCCUGGAUCAUCACCCCUUCAAACACUGAACACUACAACAGUACAAUUUCACUCAAAGACAAAGCCAAGUAUAUAUAAGAAACCUGGGUUCAAACUCCACAAACCAAACUUUUCAUAGAUCAUUGAUUUGAAGUACCAAAGUGUCUAAACAUAUGACUGAGUAUCCUAUUAUUCUAAAGAAAAAUGAAAAGCGAAAAGAACUGUGAGAUCAAAUAUUGACUAGGACCAGAAAAACCUUCCAAAGUAUUAGCUGAACUUCUAGAACAACACAUGUCGGCACAUUCACACACAGCCUCAGCAGACAGAGAGAGAGAGAGAAGAGAAGGGGGGUAGGGGGGGUAUCACAAACUAUUUCUGCAUAAACCAAAGAAGAUACACAGAAUCACAAACUAUGUCCGCAUAAACCAAAGAAGAUACACAGAAUCACAAACUAUGUCC